AUUAUUUGUUACUGUAACAAUGGGUAAGGAGUAUCCUAAAUGAUGUAAUUUUAUAGAAGUGACGAUUUCUAUUAGAAAUAAUUAAAGGAUCACUAUAGGGUCAGGAACACAAACAUGUGUUCCUGACCCUAGAGUGUUAAAACCACCAUCUAGCCCCUCUGGGCCCCUUAUGCCUCCAUAAAUAUAGCAAAGUCUUACUGUAUUCAAGCCUGAAGCUGUAACUCUGCAUGCUGUUUGCCUCAGAAAAACAAGCGGUCUGCUGAC
Molecule: non-coding RNA, 264 nt
Organism: Pelobates cultripes (western spadefoot toad)
Lineage: Eukaryota; Metazoa; Chordata; Amphibia; Anura; Pelobatidae
Source: the annotation of a GenBank genome assembly